This 817-nucleotide ribosomal RNA is filed under the name Trebouxia sp. MX_FN1. RNAcentral's name for it is "partial large subunit ribosomal RNA". It matches the Rfam family "Eukaryotic large subunit ribosomal RNA", at positions 27 to 866 of the family's 3401-position model. The record is from RNAcentral. Lineage: Eukaryota; Viridiplantae; Chlorophyta; Trebouxiophyceae; Trebouxiales; Trebouxiaceae.
GCUGAACUUAAGCAUAUCAAUAAGCGGAGGAAAAGAAACUAACUAGGAUUCCCUUAGUAGCGGCGAGCGAACCGGGACCAGCCCAACUUGUAAAUCAUUAGCCUUCGGCUAAUUGAAUUGUAGUCUCAAGAUGCGUUCUCUGCGGCGAGCAGUGCCCAAUUUUCCUUGGAAAAGGGAGUCAGAGAGGGUGAGAACCCCGUCGGCACUUGCUUCAGUUGCUCCACGAGGCGCUUUCUCAGAGUCGGGUUGCUUGGGAAUGCAGCCCUAAGUAGGUGGUAAAUCCCAUCUAAGGCUAAAUACUGACGGGAGACCGAUAGCGAACAAGUACCGUGAGGGAAAGAUGAAAAGAACUUUGAAAAGAGAGUCAAAAGUGCUUGAAAUUGUUGAGGGGGAAGGAAUUGGAAGCCGUUUGUGCACCCGGGCUUAAGUGGGCAAUUCUGCCUUCUGUACGCUCUGGGAGCCGGUCAGCAUCGGCUACUGGACCGGGAUAAUAACUUUCCUUCGGAGAGUGCAUGCCGGCUCGGUGGCUGAGGAAUUGAAAGGCGCUCUUUGAGUCCUUCGGGAACUGCGCCUUCAAGAUGCUGGCAGAAGGCCUUCAAUUCGCCCGUCUUGAAACACGGACCAAGGAGUCUAACAUGUAUGCGAGCCGGUGGGUUUAACACCCAUGAGACGCAAGUAACCUGACUGGUGGGAUGGCUUAUGCCUGCACCAUCGACCGACCAUGAUCUUCUGUGAAAGGUUUGAGUACGAGCAUACCUGUUGGGACCCGAAAGAUGGUGAACUAUGCCUGAGCAGGGCGAAGCCAGAGGAAACUCUG